GCCGGUUGGACUCACGGGCGGGGCAUGAUGGUGGUGGGUACGGGCACCUCGCUGGCGCUCUCCUCCCUCCUGUCCCUGCUGCUCUUUGCUGGGAUGCAGAUGUACAGCCGUCAGCUGGCCUCCACCGAGUGGCUCACCAUCCAGGGCGGCCUGCUUGGUUCGGGUCUCUUCGUGUUCUCGCUCACUGUAUCCUCCCUGCAGUUGGAGGGGGCGGGCCACGUAGGCAUGUGCCCUUCCCCUUCCCCACACAGCUCUGUCCCCGUUGCACACCCUACUCCUUAACUCCCUCAACCAGGCCUUCAAUAAUCUGGAGAAUCUUGUCUUUGGCAAAGGAUUCCAAGCAAAGAUCUUCCCUGAGAUUCUCCUGUGCCUCCUGUUGGCUCUCUUUGCAUCUGGCCUCAUCCACCGAGUCUGUGUCACCACCUGCUUCAUCUUCUCCAUGGUUGGUCUGUACUACAUCAACAAGAUCUCCUCCACCCUGUACCAGGCAGCAGCUCCAGUCCUCACACCAGCCAAGGUCACAGGCAAGAGCAAGAAGAGAAACUGACCCUGAAUGUUCAAUAAAGUUGAUUCUUUGU
This 578-nucleotide long non-coding RNA is filed under the name Homo sapiens (human). RNAcentral describes it as "non-protein coding lnc-KRTCAP2-1:5". The record is from RNAcentral. Lineage: Eukaryota; Metazoa; Chordata; Mammalia; Primates; Hominidae.